CAAAGGCCCAGAACCAAGGAGUUCCAGCAGAGAGGAAGGAAAUGAAGCUUCCUGCUGGCUGAAGCUGCUCACCCAAAAGAAAGGGAAUUAGAUAAAGUGAAAGGUAUUUCUCAGAGAUGGGCCCAAAGCUGCUUCUGUUUCCUUGUGGCCUCAGGCUGGCUCUAGCUAGUAGGACACCAUGACCCAGAGUAACUAAAGGGAAUUAUUGGCAUCCUCCCACGAGCUCCUACCAGGCCAGUGCCAGAAACACUCAUCUACUCCCUUAUGGAAGAUCACUGAGUCAUGAGAUCUGUGGUUUGUCUGAUUCUCCACUUCCCGAAGCCAGCCAAGGCUAACCGACCUGGGAUUCUGAGAGACUGUCCAGAUGGAAUCCUGCUCUGUUGCCCAGGCUGGCAUGAUCUCGGCUCAUUGCAACCUCUGCCUCCCAAGUUCAAGCGAUUCGCCUGCGUCAGCCUCCCGAGUCGCCUGGAGUACAGCUGUGGGCCACCACGCCUGGCUAAUUUUUGUAUUUUUAGUAGAGACGGGCUUUCGCCAGGUUGGCCAGGCUUGUCUCGAAAUCCUGACCUCAAGUGAUCUGCCCACCUUGGCCUCCCAAAGUACUGGGAUUAAAGGCAUAAGCCACCAUGCCCGGCCUAUUUACUUAUGUUUUAUCAAUAAGUAAUAGAUGUAUAUAUUUUCAGGGUACAUAACACCUCUACUUUUAAACUGGUUCCUAUGAGAUUCCCACCUCUUUCCUUAUAAUUCCCACUUUUAUUUGAGUUCUUUUUAGUGCAUGUCUUCAACCAAGACGAGUAGGAAAUCAAAGCUUCAGAGAUGACCACAAUGCUGUAAAGCCCAGAGGAAAACCCAAAGAAUGCUAUGAAAACUAAGUGUGGAAGAAAUCCCACAGCACCUGCAGCAGGUUUUACUCCACCUCAUUGAUGGACUAUUUAAAUUACUUAAUUUUAGCUGGGCAUGGUGGCAGGUCUCUGUAGUCCCAGCUACAUGGGAGGCUGAGGCAGGAGGAUGGCUUGAACCCAGAAGUUAGAGGCUGCAGUGAGCCAUGAUUGCCCCACUGCACUCUAGCCUGAGCAACAGAGCAAGACCCUGUCUCUAAAAAAUAAAAAUAAGAAAACUACUUGAUUUUCAGGAAGAUACUUCCAGUUCAAGAAUUUCAGGGAGAAGCAAACAAGUUCUGGUGAGGAGAUGCUGCAUGCCUGGGCCUCUGUAUAGCACUCUCAAUUACAGCUGACCUGCAGAGAGCUUUGAUAGUCUGAGGUUACAAGUAAAAUUAAUGACCAUGGUGAGAAAGUUACUCAGCACUAAAGGCUCUCAGUCCUCACAACCUCUUAUAGAUGAUGUGCCUUUAGAUGAUUCUUAUGCUGUGCAAUCAUUCUUCAUUUCAUGUAGCCACCCAUCUACCCACUGAUUCUACAAAAAUUUAUUUAGCACCUACUGAGUAACAGGCAUUAGAGAGGCCAAGACAGAUGAGACACUCCCUGUCCUCAAAGGGCAGUAAGCACUUCUCAUUCACAGAACGUUUACAGCUUGUAAUUGUAUGCAUUUGUGGGAUUUGUUUUUGUUUAAUCUCUCUCUCCCAUUAUAUCAAUUUCAUAAGGACAGGAUUCAUGGGUUUGUUGUUGUUGUUGUUGACUCUUGUAUCCUAGAACCUGGUAGGGUUCCUGGCACACAAUAGGCACUUAAUACGUAUUUGGUGAACAAAUUAUUAAUGAAGGGCUUUGAGUCUGUUCAAGGUGUUAUUGUUUUUCUUCUUUUUUCUUUCUGUUUUUACUCAUGUUACAGCCUACCCCCAAAAAAGAUAUCUUCAUAGGACCAUCAGACAAUAAUACAUUUGGAAAUGUAUGUGGCUUAUGUCUUCCAGAAUGGUCCACAGUAUGUGGCAACUGCAGGCUCUGUAACAGAUGCCUGAGCUACUAGAACUCGGUAACCAAGGAUCCUCCCUGUGGUGUAGAUCCUCGGUGUCUAGGGACCCUCCUUUCCUGGUAGCUCUUAGAUUAAAGCUGCUCAGGAGAGAGAGUACAGAAAAUGCAGCUGAUUCAUUGGCCUCGAGGAAACAGAGCAUGGAAAGCAGACGAGGAUGUGAGAAAUGACCAUCUCAACACCAGCAGGAGGAGGUAGACAAACAGGACAAGGGACUGCAUGCAUAGCUGUGUGGGAUUGCCUUGCACAAGGGCACCCAGCCAAGGGGGCAAGUAGGGGCUGAAAUCUAGCCAGGCUCUGCUUCUAAGCCAUGAACCCUGGCAAGAGAUUCUGUCAAAGGUGGCCUAAGGACCAGAGGUGGCCCAGUGAGAAGUCCCCAGGUUCUUAAGAAGACUGACAAAGUAAUGAGGGAGAGUGUGGAGAGCACCUGCACUUCGCAUUCAAUCAGAAAGCUGUGGGUUGGGGUUUUGCCCAGUGUGAUGGCCUCACUCUGUGAACUGUGAUUACCGCUUCACACCCCUACACCUCUAAGCCCUGCUCCCACACAUUCAGUUCUCAGAGUGACAAAGGGUGACUCCUAGCAAAAGCAGGAAAGAUUUGUAAGAGGACAUCUAAGAUCAAAGCUGUCAGCAAGAGGCAAAGAGCCACUCUGCUACCCUGAAGAUGGAGGAUGAAGCAGCAGGUAACUGGGCUGUUAGGCUGCCUGCCCAGCUCUCUGUAUGGGCUGACAGCGUAUAGCUUCCUUUGCCCAAAUGUGGAUAGCCUGUAUUGACACUGGAGAGAACUCAUGCACACAGCCUAACAGAAAAACAAUUUAGUACCAGAUAGCUUUAAAAAAAAAAAUCAUCCACAUCCUUCCCUAUUCUGCUCUUCAUGGUACAUGGAGACUCCAGGGCUAUUUCUAGCUCAAGAUGCAGGGGUGCUGAUGAGCAGUGGGAUUUCUGCAGCUGAUCGCUGAUAGGAUAGAGCUGUUGCCACCCCAGAGAGGUGCUAGGGACAGGCAGCUUAACUGCACAUGGCCAGCACAUGGCAGGUGGGCGGGAGGACGUCUGGCUGGUUCAGGGGGAGGUGCGGGGGAUGGAACAGCUCUGAAACAGCAUUUUGGAAGCAGUAAGCUGAAGAUAGUGUGGCUCUGUGUGUCUCCAACACCACCUUUCUUCCACAGCUCUAGGCUUAAAGGGGAACAAAGAAAGAAAAAGGGAACAUCUUAGGGAUAUCAGUGCACCUCCUGCACUUGCCUCUCUUGCUUCAAAUCUGGAAUGCCAUUUCAGCAGCCAAGAUGCAGAUGCAGUUCUUUUUUUUUUUUUUAAUUGAGAAUGUGACUAACAGAAUGAAUAGUCUUAAGGAGAGUGGUCAAAUUGUAACGAAACCCAUCAAAACAUCAUAGGGAGGAAGGGGAGGGGAAAGAUUGGCUUCAACAGUAAAAUUGUAUAGGCUUUAAGAUCAGGUGAAUUUGAGUUCUAUUCCCACCUCUUUCAUUAUCAGCAAUGUGACCUUGGGCGGCUGCUUAAUCUCUCUGUGCCUAUUUCCUUCAUUUGUAAAGCGGGGAUAAUCCUAGGGGUGGCAUGAGUGAAAUGCAUUUUUAUUUUGGGGGGUGGGGGGCUGCCCCUGCAUGGUCAUGCCUCUGUCCGUGGUUCUGAAUGCUCGCUUCUUUUGAGCUGGUCAGUCAUUUCAAAACCCAGGAUACUGCUGAUUCUUGUUCAACCUCUCCUAUGAGAGUAUUUGUUGUUUUUCUUUGUUUUUAUAUUUUAUCUUAAUGGAGCGCUUCAGUUUUUACACACUCGAAGAAUAAGUAGCAACGUGACUUAUGUUACAUUACUUACAUAACAAAAUCUGCUCACUGCCUUGUUUCCAACAGUUUAAAACAUUUUUGCCUUCUAGGAUGUGGGGUGUCAGACACUGCUCCCCCGCAAAGCUAAGUCUAAAGCAAUAGUAAUACAUACUUCAGUGGUUUUUGUAAGAAUUAAGCAUGUAAAUACUUCAGCUCCAUGGCUGGCAUAUAAAUACUAAGACAAAAAGUGGCUAUUGUGGCAGGUGUGUGUUUGCAAACACCAAAUUUGGACACAAAAGUUGCUCAAAAUUACUUUCUAAAUCAAAUUACAUCUCACCCUGAGCCUCUGCUUUCUACAGAUUACUAGUUAUUGGGGCAGGAAUAUUCCCAUCAAGUUAUGAGAAGGUCUUAGGGAUGUUAUACAGAACAAAAUUUUCCAGACAAGGCUCCCUAGUCUUCAGUCCACACUGGUUACCCAGUGAUGUGCUCAUUGUCCCAGCACUCAGAGAAAAGCUGCUCUGAUGCUUCUAUUUCUUGCUUAGGUUCAUUGUUUGCAGUGGUUGAUAGCCCCAGGUCCUGGCAUCAAGCUCCCACAUCUCUCCUGGCCCCCAGCCCUCUGGUUUACCACCUAGCUAUUCACCUCUGAGACUGAGACAUCUGCAAAGAAACAGCUACCCUACUACUUGAGAACCCAUGAGUCUCCUGGAGCCCAAGCCACCAUUCUCUUCCUGGGUUCAAGGACUGUUUCCUUUUCCUUGGAAGAGAGAGGGAGGAGGCGAAGACAGCAUCAGCCUGUACUCCUCCAAACGUAGAGUAAUCUCCCCUCAAUUGGGUCAUUUCCCUUAUUAAUUCACCCUUUUACUUAUUUACUUUAUUAUUAUUGAACAGUAUAUGUCGUCUUAUCACAGGAAUUUAGGACCCCCUUUGUUAUGUUUUUAUUUUGAGAGUCAUGAAUGCCCUUGGAAUCCCAUUCAGUCUGACAACCAAAUGAAGAUCUAAACUCAUACAGCAGAAGAGCUCAGGUCCAUUGAGAAACAGAGCUUCAUCUUCUAAUUAUUUGGUUUAAUUUAUUGGUGUACACUCCCUUUAAGACAUCACAGUGCUUGACUUCACUGUUAUUUUGUGUGAAAUAGCCUCUGCUUACCCUUCUCUGUUAAAGAAUUUUCCUAACUCAUCCGUGAGCUAUUUCACCUGACUGCACUGUGAACUGAGGAGAGAGUGUGGAUCUGUAGGAGUUUGAUUCUCUCAAGAAAGGAAAUAUGUUUGCCUGGAGUUUCUCUAAAGAAGGAAGGCAGCAACGCAACCCUGUGGCCUAUGUGUAAAUCAUCUGACUUUCUCACCAAUGUGGUUAAAUCUUCUGAUUUCUUACUCAGCAAGAGCUUGCUGAAAACUGACAUUGUAGUUGCUGACUGGGAUUGCAGCUCAACAAAUUAUUUCUAAAAGGUGUGCAGUUGUUGAAAAAAAAAAAGGGUCAAUCAAGGUCAGUAUAAUGGGCAUUUGUCUGAUAGCCUUAGGCGUUAAUGGGCAUUUUUGUUUACUUCAAGGAGGAAAAAGAGAUGAGGGGAUAAAGAUCUGUGAUCUAUAAUGUAACUUGAAACAUUUCGGCUAUUGGCUAAUGUCAUAGGUGUUUCUUAAUUUUUCCAUCCAUGAAGAAAAUGACUGAUAAAAUUUAUGCAAACUUAGCAGUCAGCCAUUAAUUGGUUUAUUUCGGCUGUUUUUAAAUGUCUCUUGAAAGUCGUUAGAGUGUUAAUACAUUCAAGAGGUAGCUGUGUCCCAUAUUGACAAUCUAAAUAUGUAAGCAAGCCCAAAAAGAGGAGAAGGAUGGAAGUUACCUAGGCAGGACAUGGUCAUCUAUAGGGAAGAAAGUCAUAAUAUCUUUUCUAUCACAAACUUUCUGAAGCUCUGGUUAAUCUGUGAAACUGGGUUAGCUGUUCUACAGAAAGUUAGGAAGGUCUUUGGUUAAAGAUAAGAGACACAUGAGUGGAAGCUCUUCACUCACUCUAAACAUUUAAGAACUUCUGGCUAAAAUAUAAUCAAAAUGUUUUACAUACAUAACUAAGCAUGAAGUCAAGUAAAGGAAAUUGCCAUUUUCAAAAGCAAAAAGAUAACUUUCAAAGUCAGAGGUGAAUAAGAAUUGCACUGUGCGUAUGGUAAGAUCUAAAUUCACAUUGUCUAUAGAAUGUGGACACCCAAGUUGUGACACUAAUGUUAAAAAUUUGUCUCAACCUUGAUGUAAAAAGAAAUUAUGUAACUUUACUAAAAGAUAGGUAAAAAAGACCCCAAAGUGAAAAAAAAGGUCAUGUUCAAGGAUAAAAAGACCCAAUAUCAUGAAGAUCAAUUUGUCCCAAGUUUAUCUAUCAUUUCAAUCAGAAUCUCAAUAGAAAUAUUUUAUGGAUAUUAUGCAGACAAAUCCUAGCUGCUUAUAAAAUGUAUAUGGAAGGGCAAAGAACAAGAAAGAGGAAAGAGAAUCUUGAAGGAGGAGGGAAGGGACUUGCCAUAGCAGAUAUCAAGAACUUACUAUAAAGCCCCAGCAGUUAAGCCAAAGGGGAGGGGAGGAUGUAUGAGAAAUAAACAGAGAGACCAAUGCAAUGGAAAAGAGCUUAGACAUAAACUCACCAUAUAAGAAAAAAUUCAUUCAUAACAGAGCAGCCAUUAUACAUCAGUAAGGAAAGGAAUGGAGUGCUCAAAAAUGGGGCUGGGACAAUAAUCACCCCUCCCUAAAAAAAGGAAAGAAAAAUUGGAUUUCUACCUCAUACUAUAUACACAAAUCAAUUCUACAUAGAUUAAAUGAAAGUUUAAAA
This 6492-nucleotide long non-coding RNA is filed under the name Homo sapiens (human). RNAcentral's name for it is "HSALNT0302951". The record is from RNAcentral. Lineage: Eukaryota; Metazoa; Chordata; Mammalia; Primates; Hominidae.